GACGAACGCGGCGGCGUGCCUAAUACAUGCAAGUAGAACGCUGAAGGAGGAGCUUGCUUCUCUGGAUGAGUUGCGAACGGGUGAGUAACGCGUAGGUAACCUGCCUGGUAGCAGGGGAUAACUAUUGGAAACGAUAGCUAAUACCGCAUAAUAGCAGUUAUUGCAUGAUAACUGUUUGAAAGGUGCAAUUGCAUCACUACCAGAUGGACCUGCGUUGUAUUAGCUAGUUGGUGGGGUAACGGCUCACCAAGGCGACGAUACAUAGCCGACCUGAGAGGGUGAUCGGCCACACUGGGACUGAGACACGGCCCAGACUCCUACGGGAGGCAGCAGUAGGGAAUCUUCGGCAAUGGACGGAAGUCUGACCGAGCAACGCCGCGUGAGUGAAGAAGGUUUUCGGAUCGUAAAGCUCUGUUGUAAGAGAAGAACGAGUGUGAGAGUGGAAAGUUCACACUGUGACG
This 461-nucleotide ribosomal RNA is filed under the name Streptococcus mitis. RNAcentral's name for it is "bacterial SSU rRNA". It matches the Rfam family "Bacterial small subunit ribosomal RNA", at positions 28 to 474 of the family's 1533-position model. The record is from RNAcentral. Lineage: Bacteria; Bacillati; Bacillota; Bacilli; Lactobacillales; Streptococcaceae.